GAUGAACGCUGACAGAAUGCUUAACACAUGCAAGUCGAUUCGAUUUACCUUCGGGUAUUGAGGAUGGCGGACGGGUGAGUAACGCGUAAGGAACUUGCCUCUUGGUCUGGGACAACUGUUGGAAACGACAGCUAAUACCGGAUAUUAUGAGAUUCUCGCAUGGGAAACUUAUGAAAGCUAUAUGCGCCAAGAGAGAGCCUUGCGUUCCAUUAGCUAGUUGGUGGGGUAACGGCCCACCAAGGCGACGAUGGAUAGCCGGCCUGAGAGGGUGAACGGCCACAAGGGGACUGAGACACGGCCCUUACUCCUACGGGAGGCAGCAGUGGGGAAUAUUGGACAAUGGGCCACAAGCCUGAUCCAGCAAUUCUGUGUGCACGAUGAAGGUCUUCGGAUUGUAAAGUGCUUUCAGUUGGGAAGAAGAAAGUGACGGUACCAACAGAAGAAGCGACGGCUAAAUACGUGCCAGCAGCCGCGGUAAUACGUAUGUCGCAAGCGUUAUCCGGAUUUAUUGGGCGUAAAGCGCGUCUAGGCGGAAAAAUAAGUCUGAUGUUAAAAUGCGGGGCUCAACUCCGUAUUGCGUUGGAAACUGUUUUUCUAGAGUACUGGAGAGGUGGGCGGANCUACAAGUGUAGAGGUGAAAUUCGUAGAUAUUUGUAGGAAUGCCGAUGGAGAAGUCAGCUCACUGGACAGAUACUGACGCUAAAGCGCGAAAGCGUGGGGAGCAAACAGGANUAGAUACCCUGG
Molecule: ribosomal RNA, 744 nt
Filed under: uncultured prokaryote
Description: bacterial SSU rRNA
Rfam family: Bacterial small subunit ribosomal RNA
Source: RNAcentral